Molecule: long non-coding RNA, 696 nt
Filed under: Equus caballus (horse)
Lineage: Eukaryota; Metazoa; Chordata; Mammalia; Perissodactyla; Equidae
Description: lncRNA (ENSECAG00000044188.1)
Source: RNAcentral
UGAAUACCAUGGAUGGUGAUGAUGAGAGAUGCGUGCAUGUGGCGGCAGAUAGGAGAAUAGGCAAGCUGAUGGGAUCAAUGACAGGAAUGGAGAGAAGGGACCUGUCUACGGAUAUGAGAGUUGCCACUAGGAGGCAAAGAAAAGAAACUUGCUGAGGAUCAGAGCCGUGCCCGGCAUCAGUGGAGAGGGCAUGCUCAUCUCAGUCCAAAAUCACCGAUGGGAGACUGAACGCCUGUGUGGCUGCAUGCCCGCUCAGGGGCCCGGCUGCACACACAGGCCUUGCUCCGAUGAGUUCUGGAUCCGCUCUCCUGAGCUCGUGAGUGAUGCCAGAGCAAUAUCCAACAGAGGUUUGACCAAAAUCUUGGUGCAGUGGCCUAGCCAAACUGACACAUGAAGUCAACCAUCACAGAGGCCCAGCGAGAGUGCAACAUUGAGUAAAUUCCCAGGCUGGCGAUGACCCAGGAGAGCACCCCUGUCUGGGUACAGAGAACCUGGAUGAGGCAAAAGAGAAAGGAGUGCGCCUCAGCGCUGUGAUGGCAGAAGUGUGUGCCAACUUGGGUAAUACUUUUUCUCAUGUACUUUCUGUUUUUUCUCUGUCUGGGCGCUAGCACAGGAAGUCUAAAAGAAGAAAACAAACCCCGGUCUUUCCUACCUAUUUUCAGUUGACUAGUGCUUGCCCCAGUGUUCCUUUGUGAC